Long non-coding RNA from Oryzias latipes (Japanese medaka), 726 nucleotides. RefSeq lists it as uncharacterized. The record is from RefSeq and is a predicted model, not a curated record. NCBI's taxonomy places the organism in Eukaryota, Metazoa, Chordata, Actinopteri, Beloniformes, Adrianichthyidae.
ACUUGAUUGAGAUCAUCUGGCACACCAGCUGCUUCAUUAGCAGAGGGCUGAUAAAAGCCUGUCAGUAGAGCUUCAGGCAGAGACCUGCUGCUUCCAGGUGGAAGGUGCAGCAGCAGCCUUUGGCUGUGUGUAGGGCCCUAACCAUAGCCGGAUCGCAGGCAGUGUUUGGCCGCUCAUGCAACUCCUGUGCAGAGUCCUCUUGAGCUGCGGGAGCAGGUGCCGCUGUUUUGGUUUCCAUUGUUUGUUUCAUCCCUGCUCUGCCCAACCUGGUGCACUGUGGUCCAAGAGCGGUGCCACGGCCGGCAUUUUUGGGGAUCGUGUGUGCUCCAUACAGAGUGUCAGUGACUGCUGUCCAUCCACGCACUGGCGAGCGGUGUGACACAGCAGGAUUAACAGCUAUUGGAGCGAGUCCCCCCUUCUGGCCUUCCAUCGCCCCAGGCACCACCAGGCCCAGUGUCCCACCACCUAGGACUGGCGUCGGCUACGGCCACUGGAUGCAAGGGGUGUGGCAUUGAGCCGGGUGCACUGCAACAGAGCGCACAGCUGGGUGCAGCUGACUUGUGGGCUGGUUUUGUGACUCUUUUGGGUAUCUUUUAGAAUAGGAAUUUUAACAAUUUCAAAUAAAGGUUGUCUUUUUCUUUAAAAGCACAGUCUCGGUUUCCUGUGUCGGAGAGUCCUGCGCUUUUGGUUUUAGAUUUCUGCUGGCGGCAUUCACCGGGGAAACCA